UACGUAUGGUGCAAGCGUUAUCCGGAUUUACUGGGCGUAAAGGGAGCGCAGGCGGUGCGCCAAGUCUGAUGUGAAACCCCGGGGCUCAACCCCGGGCAUGCAUUGGAAACUGGCGGGCUGGAGUGCCGGAGAGGUAAGCGGAAUUCCUAGUGUAGCGGUGAAAUGCGUAGAUAUCAGGAGGAACACCAGUGGCGAAGGCGGCUUGCUGGACGAUGACUGACGUUGAGGCUCGAAAGCGUGGGGAGCAAACAGG
Molecule: ribosomal RNA, 253 nt
Filed under: uncultured bacterium
Lineage: Bacteria
Description: partial 16S ribosomal RNA
Rfam family: Bacterial small subunit ribosomal RNA
Source: RNAcentral